Caenorhabditis elegans is the source of this 121-nucleotide non-coding RNA. The record is from Ensembl. Lineage: Eukaryota; Metazoa; Nematoda; Chromadorea; Rhabditida; Rhabditidae.
GUCAAAUAAAUUUUUGGAGAAAAAGAAAAAUGAGCAUGAAUCAAAGGGUAAACUAACAAAAGGGGGAGUGAGAAAUCUAAGCGAGUAAGAGAGCAAAAGGACAUAAAAUGUUUAUGGAAAU